This 399-nucleotide long non-coding RNA is filed under the name Hordeum vulgare. Its description in RNAcentral is "long non-coding RNA (HVUL_LNC000322)". The record is from RNAcentral. Lineage: Eukaryota; Viridiplantae; Streptophyta; Magnoliopsida; Poales; Poaceae.
UGCGGAGGUGCGGUCGACGGGAACGAGGCCAGGGGAGGACCCCGCCGCGUCCUCGGGCUCCCCCGAAUCGGCGUCCGCUGCGUCCGCGAAGGAGGUCCCCCGAGAAGGCGAGGAGGUCACGAGGCGGCGCGCGACACGGCUCUCCCGCAGAAUCCUCUCGAGGAGGAACCUGGUGGUGGCCGCGUCGGCGCCGUAGAGAGGGGAGGGGUCGGCGGUGGCGGGUGAAGUCUCCGAGCCGCUAGCCGCGGAGGUGCGGUCGACGGGAACGAGGCCAGGGGAGGACCCCGCCGCGUCCUCGGGCUCCCCCGACUCGGCGUCCGCUGCGUCCGCGAAGGAGGUCCCCCGAGAAGGCGAGGAGGUCACGAGGCGGCGCGCGACGCCGCUCUCCCGCAGGAUCNN